UACGAAAAUAUGUUCCUUUAGCCCUAUAUCUUUAGGGAAAUAUGCUAUGUUGCCCCCUUUAUCUUUACAAAAUGUUGCGAUUUUGACCCCCUAUUUUGAGAAACAUUUUUAUUUCAUGACGUCUUCUAAACAAUUUUGCAACGUUUUGUAAAGUUAAGAGGUUAAAAAUGCAUUUAUACCAAAAUAAAUUAAUUAAAUCAAUAAUUUAUCAUCUCACAUAUAAUCAAGUUGGAAGAGAACAUCUCAUAUACAUCACAAUAUUUUUGACUAUAAGGAUGCACUUUCUGUUCAAGAGAAAUAUAAAGUCAGUUGUUUGAAAAUUAUAAGUGUUCUAAUAUUUUGACAUAAAAUUGAAGUUAUAUGCUUUGAAGUAAAAUAUUUUUGUUUUCAACUUAUCUAUUAAUACAAGUAUUCUUAUAGGUUACAUUAUUGGAAAUAAAAUAGGAUAUGUCUAUCUCCCGUGAGCAUAGCUCACUUGACGGCAGGAACAAUGCAUUACUAUAUACAGGGAUAGAGUUCGAAUCUAGACACCUCACUUAUUCAAUUUAAAAAGUAAAUUCUAGUUAAUAAACUGCUUUACAAAAAAAUGACAUGUCUAAACAAAAGGUCAUGACAAUACAUCCAAAAUUAAAAGAGAAAAUCAAUCUAAUUAUAAUACUCUUUAAUGCCUUGUUUCAUUACAUCAUCAAAAUCUUAGAGUAUAAAUCCAUAAGACUUAACCAUAAUUGUAAGGUCCAUGAAAUAAAAAAAAAAAAAAAAAGAAAAUUUAAACAUUCAACUAUUCAAUGCCAGUACAAUAAAUAAAUGCAUAUUAUGAGAUAUUCUAACAAAAGGUAUUAUAUAUUAUUUUCUUCUUCCCUUCAUGGCGUAAGGGCAACCUAUUAGGUCCAGUACUCAUACAAUCCAACGACAUAUACAUAUGUUUUGUUCGCACCUAUAUUUCAUAUACUUAGUAUCUGGUGGACAAUCACCAACAGUUACACAUUUAGUAAACGCUGUAAUGAAAAAUAAGAAUAAAACAAUGUUAUUAAAAUGACAUAAUAGAUUGUGUACGACCUACAAACAUAAGAAAGAAAUUUGAAAAAUCAUAAAAAUAUGGAUUAUCGACAACAUUCUCCACAACAAGGAAAAGAGGAAGGAAUAAAAUAAUAUCAUACACAAACUUUAGAGUUUUAGCAAUUUUCUCCUCUUUGCGUAUAACAAAUAGGAUAUGAUUUGAUCAUUUUAUAGGGUAUAAAACACCUGUUGUAUUAAAAAGAAUUUAGAACUCAAGGAGUUGUAAAAGCCCUCAUUGUUAAGUGUUUCUUCAGCAUAUCAAUAUAUUGUAUUUGUCCCUUUAGCACACUUACUAAACAGGUAACAUAAAAAAAGUUAAUGAUUAGAAAUCAUUACUUUUUAAUUAACUUUACAUCCUCUCUAAAUGCUUUCUUGAAUUCCUAAAUUAAUUCAUCCAUGAAAUAAUUAUGUUGUUAUAAAAAAAUAAAAAAUAAUGCUGUAUUGAUUAAUAAAGAUUUUUUUUAAAUGAUUCAUUUUUUUAAAACGAAAAUUGAAAGUCCGAAGACAUCAUUAUGACUAACUGACAUCUCAACUAUGCCAACACUCCAACCAACCAACCAACCAAAGACCAUUUACAAUUGCGAAAAUAAUAUUAUUUCGGUCUCAAAUUAUAAGCUGUUUUAGUAAUACCAAUGAAUGUUACUUCUUCUAUUAUACCCUUAAUAUUUUAUUAUUCUUUCUUCUCUCAGUUCUUUAAUUUGAUAUUCUCAUACCAUUGAUUAAGGAUAAUUUUAUAAAAUAAUUCAUAAUUUCUUUUUUCAACACAUAAUUAAUAACAUAUCUUAAUAUGCGUGAAAUGAUCAAGUCGACUUAUAAUUUUGGACGGAGGGGGUAUAUUAUUAUUAUAAGAGGAAAAAAACAAGGAGUGACAUAAAAAACAAUAGUACGGAAGGAAUGCAACAUAGAUACAUCGAGUGCAAGAAGUACUCAUUUUAAGACAACAUACAACCAAAGAUUAUCACCCCUAACAACAAGGCCAAUAAAAAAAAAAAAAGUCCUUGGCACCACAGCAAGAACAAAAAAGAAAACAAAAUCUUGCAGAGUGACUAGAGUUUUAACCUUACCGUCAAAGUUCUGUGCAACAAGGAAAAUGUUAUGUGCAAAAAGGAAAAGAGAAAGAAAGAAAAUAAUAACGUUCAUAAACUUUAGAGUUUUAACCAUUUUUUCUUCUUCUUUGCAUGUAAGAAAUAAAGCAUAAUUUGAUCACUUUAUACUAAAGCACUUGAUGUGCUAAAAAGAAUUUAGCCCUUAAGGAUUUGUAAAAAGUCCUCCUUAAAAUUAGAAUUAUUAGUAAGUGUCUCUUAAGUAGAUCAACGAGUUCACAUUUUUUUUGUUAAUCAAUAGAAUGCAUUCUUUUUUAUUAAUUAACUUUACAACCUUCAAUGAUAGAAAGGAGAAAUAUUAAAAAAAAAAAUAUACAAUCAGCGUGUAAACAUAGUCAUGCACAAUUUAAACAUAUUGUAUGAAUUUUAUAUAAAAAAUGAUUUGAUCAUAGGAAAUGAGUGUUGAUGAGUCAUAAAAUCAUGUUAUUUUCCAUAUUACGUUUUAACUUAUUUUGCAAGUAAUCUUUAUAAAAACCGCACUACAAGAAAAAUGACAUAUACCUAUGGAGGUUUACAGUAACGACACAAACGUAAGGAUAGAAAAUAUAUACAUGCGGAAAUAUCAUUGACCGUAGCUAUAGAAAGUGUUUUUAUAUACGGUUAAUGAUAUUGAAGGAAGAAUAAUAAAGAGAUGAAAUUGGAGCUAGGGUUACAAUGUUAAGAGGUUAAUCUAGUUUUCAUCAUCAUCUACCCUUUCUUCUCAAACUCCUCUUUCAAUUGACGAGGUGAGUUCUUUAAUAGGCUUUAUUUUUAAGUUAGGCUAAGUUUUGUUGUGAACGGGAAUAAUGAAUGCAUGUGAUGGUGAGAACGAGGGUUUGAGAAACCAAUGAUAGGAAUAACAUAAUUAAAAGUUUAGGAAUUGUGUGAAUUGAUAGAUUUAUAACCCAAAUUGCUGAUUUUUCGUGUAGGAAUUGGUACAAAGCAGAGUAUGGGCGCUCAUCGUCAGGGAUAGGGCGUUAGGUGGCCGUGGUCAGAGAGCUAGCGCUAGUUUCAAUGCUAAAAGCUUGUGUUCCGGCGCCAAUAUGUGUCUGAAGCGUUGUUUCAGGGCAUGAGUCUAAAAUUGAUUCUUAAACUUGAGUAUAAGCUCUUGGGUUUAUUUUGGGUAAAUAAAAUGAUAUAUUAUUCAUAGUUAGACACAAUAUAGAGAGAAAGAGGAAGAAAGAGAGUAAGAACACAAUAAAAAAAGAGUUAUCCAAAAGUAAUUCCAAAAUAGUUGUAUCAUUUCACUUUAUUAAAAGAGUUUGCGAAUUUUGUGGUGAAGGACAUGCUAAUGGUGAGUGUGUACCCGAGGGAGUGAGUGAGGAAGCCAAUUAUAUGAUAAAUUAUCAAGAAGAGAACUCUUACUCAAACACAUAUAAUAUGGGGUGGACACAAAAUCCUAACCUCAAAUAUUCAAACAACACCACCUUAAACCAAAUUACCUGCCCUUCCCAACAACAACCACAAUCAAAGCCAACCGCACUUGAAGAAGCUUUGACUAGUUUCAUCAAAUUAACCCAAGCCAACUUCCAAGAGCUGAAGUUAAAUGAAGAAAGUGUACAAAAGAACAAUGAAGCUUCCAUUAAGAACCUUGAAACUCAAAUUGGUCAGUUGUCAAAACUAAUGGCAGCACAAUCAAGGGGAGGUUUUGGUGGCAUUACUUCCAACAAUUAAAAGAAUGAUGCAUGUAAUAUGAGUGGAGUAGCUACCCCAAUGAGAGUGGAUAAGAGUGAGAAAAAGAGAGUUGAGUGUGAAGUUGAGGAGGAAGGGGAGAAAAUAGAGAAACUCAAAUAUGCAAGCUCCAUUUUGAGAAAGUCUAAAAGUAAUAUCCUCAAGGAUGGUGAUAAGCCUCUAAUGAUUCCAUACCAUGUGAUGUUGCCUUAUUCUCGUUUGAGUAAAAAUAAGGAAAUUGUUAAAUAUCCAAAGAAUAAGAAUUGCAAAGUCAUUGAAUUGAGAACCAUAAAUAUACCCAAACCAUUGAGUCUUGAGAAUACCAAAAGAAAGAUUGAUGAAGUGGGUAAUAAAGAUGAUGGCAAGGAUGAAGUUGGAAAUGAGCAAGAAAAAAAAAAAAAAGAGAAUGCUGUUGAAUCAAAGUGGAAAUAUCCACCCUGAAUAGGUGUUGGUGCGUCAAGCUCAAGGACGUAAAAGAAAGCGCUUGAUGGGAGGCAACUCAUCCUUUUCCCUUCUUUGUUAUUUGUUUAUGUUAUUUCCUUUUGUAUUGAGUCAGAUUUGAAGAGUGUCUCGAAUAAGAUUAUAUAAGUCCCUUAUUUUGUAAUGCAUCUGAACUUGUUUGAUUUUAAUGAAUUUACUUUUCUUGAAAUUUACCAGUUCAGUAGCAAAGACUUCAUCAACGGUUUGUCAAAAGUUCAAAGGAGGUAGUGCUUGCAUGAUUCUAUGAGGGAAGUGUACGGCAGAAAAUAUGCUUAGGUAGCCACAACUUUCAGAAACCUCAGCUUGCAAGGUUAUGCCUAAAUUUAUUUUUCAAUUUUUACAAAUAUGAGUGUUUCCAUGUAGGUGCUAUUUCUAGGAUUUGUGAUUUUUCUUUGUAAUUGACUGUAAAAAUACUAACUAAUGAGACAUUAUCAUUAGGCAUGUUUAUGUGUGUUAUGAUUGAAAAGUUCAAGUUUGGGGUUGCUUUUGGAACUAGCAACACUCUAAGUUUGGGGUACUAGAGAAAGAAAAAGAAAAUCACUUUGUACUAAAAGAAAAAUAUAUAUAAGCAUGAUUAAAUAAGCUGAAUUAUCAAAUUUGCUAACUAGGGAGAUGAACUUUUGACAUGAUCAUUGGUAGAGUAAGUGUUACUUUCCUGUUAUUUUUCAUUUUAAGUUGGUUCCUUGAGGACAAGUAAUGAUGCAAGUUUGGGGUUGGGAUGAUGCUCUGUCAUUACUCUUUUAGUAGGCAUUUUUCCAUGUAAUUUUUAAGUGAUAUUCAUUGUAAUUCAUGGAGCUGCAAGCCACAAAAUAGCAAAAAUUGGAGUUUUGAAGAUUCAAAAUUAAGCCACCGAAUCAUACCAUUCGGCCAUCGAAUUUGCUGCUGAAUUCUACAUGUUGUUUCAACAAAAAUCGGCCACCAAAGGUUUUGGUUCGGCCACCGAAAAUCCUGAUGGGCCACACGUUUUUAAUCAAUUUGGCCACCGAAUGGAGAGGCUCGGUGGCCGAUUUUUACAGGCUUAUAAAAGGAGAAAUCCGUUUUCAGAUUGAGGGUUCAUGAUUUUAGAGAGAAAAGACAUAUUUUGGAGCGGAGGCUUUGCAUAUCUGGUGGGAGACAAUCAAAACUCAUAUUCAGUCAUCUAAUACUCGUAUGAAUCCUUGUUUCUAUGGUAGUUAUCUUGUACUUUAGCUAUGAGUAACUAAUCUCUUUGUGGUUGAGACUUAGAUGAAUCUCAUGUAAUCUUAUGGGAACCAUAAUUUGUUGAACUCCUUUGAAUAUCAAUGGAAGUCUAGUUUUAAUUCAUAUUACUUUAUGUUUAAUGCUUUUUGUAUGUUUAUCAUCGACUACUAACCCUAACUUUAUGAAUAUGAAAAUUGAUCUUAGAGAUUAAAUGACCACUAACCAUGGCUUUCGAAUUUGAUCCAGGUAAUAAGUUUAACCUAAGUAAUCAUGCUAGAGAUAGAUCAUUAUUAGGUUAUGACAUAGGGAAUAACAUUCUUUUAAAACCUCAAACGUUUCAAAUUCACUUAAGAGAUUAAGGGAUUGUUACUUGCGGGGAGAACUAUAAAUCAAGAGAUUUGGUAGAGUUACUUUGUUAAUCUUUCGUGAAGCUAGAUAAUCAUUGAUUGAACUAGGAGUGCAAAUUACCAUAGGAGAACUUCGGAGGAUUCGAAGGUCUUAACCAUACUUCUCUCUAAUUUUCUAAAACCAAAAUUUUACCGUUUUUAAUUCAGUUUAUGAUACAACAAUCAACUCAACUGCCUAGGUCAACCCAUUGAAUUUAAUACAUCGUUAUUACUAAUGAAAUUGCCAAGUAGAAGUUAACAAUGGUCAUUGUGGAAAUGAAUUAUUCAUUACUUCGAUUGAAUUUGGUUCACUUGCCAAAUAUCUAUCGAUGAUACAUGUUUUUAAUAUGUAAUAAAUACUUUAUGACAACAUUAACUAAUUCUCUCUCUUCAAGGGUAAACUUGUAAAACAACAACAAUUGUCAAUAAAAUUGAUGCAAUAACCAACUUUCUUGAUUCCCGUGUUUUUUCAAAAGAAUUUUAUAUUUAGGGACAGACGUAGUACUAUUUUCUAAACCAAGUAGUUAUAUGGACGUCCAAAUUAAAUAAAUAAAUGGCAUAAAUGCAUUUUUGACCUUUAGCUUUUAAAUAGUGGCAAUUUUGGACCCUAACAAAAAAAAAAAUUCCCUCUAUCUUUAGGGAAAUGUGCUUUUUUGUUCCUCUAUCUAUAUGAAAAUAUGUUCUUUUAGCCCUAUAUCUUUAGGGAAAUAUGAUCUUUUACCCCCUUUAUAUUUACAAAAUGUUGCGAUUUUGACCCCCUAUUUUAGGAACACAUGGCGUCUUCUAUACAGUUUUGCAACGUUUUGUAAAGUUAAGGGGUAAAAUUGUUAUGUUUUCUGUUAGGGAACAAAAUCACAACUUUUUAAAAGAUAAGAGGUUAAAAAUGCAUUUAAACCUAAAUAAAUUAAUUAAAUCAAUAAUUUAUCAUCUCGCAUAUAAUCAAGUUGGAAGAGAACAUCUCAUAUACCUCACAAUAUUUUCGACUAUAAGGAUGCACUCUCCGUUCAAGAGAAAUAUAAAUUCAAUUGUUUGAAAAUCAUAAGUGUUCUAAUAUUUUGACAUAAAAUUGAAGUUAUAGGCUUUCAAAGUAAAAUAUUUUUAUUUUCAACUUAUCUAUUACAAAUAUUCUUAUAGGUGAAAUAAAAAAAAUAAAAAAAAAAUUUAAACAUUCAAUUACUCAAUGCCAGUACAAUAAAUAAAUGCAUAUUAUGAGAUAUUCUAACAAAAGGUAUCUUGCAUAUACUAUUAUUUUCUUCUUCCCUGCAUGGCGUAAGGGCAACCUAUUAAGUCCAGUACUCAAAGAAACCAACGAUAUAUACAUAUGUUUUUUACACACCUAUAUUUCUUAUGCUCAGUAUCUGGUGGACAAUCAGCAACAGUUUCACAUUUAAUAAUCGCUGUAAUAAAAAAUAAUAAUAAAACAAUGUUACUAAAAUGACAUAAUAGAUUGUGUACGACCUACAAACAAAAGAAAGAAAUUUGAAAAAGCAUAAAAAUAUGGAUUGUCGACAACAUUCUUCACAACAAUGAAAAGAGGAAGGAAUAAAAUAAUAUCAUACACAAACUUUAGAGUUUUAGCGAUUUUCUCCUCUUUGCGUAUAACAAAUAGAGUAUGAUUUGAUCAUAUUAUAGGGUAUAAAACACCUGAUGUGUUAAAAAGAAUUUAGAACUCAAGGAGUUGUAAAAGCCCUCAUUGUUAAGUGUUUCUUCGGUGUAUUAAUAUGUUGUGUUUGUCCCUUUAGCACACUUAUUAAAGAGGUAACAUAAAAAAAUUGUUAGUAAUUAGAAUUCAUUACUUUUUAAGUAACUUUACAUCCUCUCUAAAUGCUUUCUUGAAUUACUAAAUUAAUUCAUCCAUGAAAUAAGUAUUUUGUUAUAAAAAAAUAAUGUUGUAUUGAUUAAUAAAGAUUUUUUUUAAAUGAUUCAUUUUUUCAAAAUGAAAAUUGAAAGUGCAAAGACAUCAUUAUGACUAACUCACAUCUCAACUAUGUCAACACCCCAACCAACCAACCAACCACCAUUUACAAUUGUGAAAUAUAUUUUCUUUGUUUCAAAUUAUAAGUCGUUUUAGUAAAAAAAAUUGUCCCAAAAUAUAAAUAGUUUAAUCAAAGAAAAAUCAAUGUUACUUUUCCUAUUAUACCCUUAACUGUUUAUUAUUCUUUCUUCUCUCAAUUUUUUAAUUUGAUAUUCCCAUACAAUUGAUUAAGGAUAAUUUUAUAAAAUAAUUCAUAAUUUCUUUUUCCAACACAUACUUAAUAACAUUUCUUAAUAUGUGUAAAAUGACCAAAUCGACUUAUAAUUUUGAACAGAGGGGUUAUAUUAUUAUUAUUAUAAGAGGAAAAAAACAAGGAGUGACAUAAAGCAAAACUUAUUUAAAAAAACAAUAGUACGGUGGUACCGAAAAUCUGCAAGCCAAACUGUUCUUUUGAGUUACAACAUCUACAGACACAAAGGAAGGAAUAUGACAUAGAUACAUCGAGUGCAAGAAAUAUUCAUUUUAAGACAACAUACAACCAAAGACUAUCACACCUAACAACUAGGCCAAUAAAAAAAAAAAAAAAAAAGAGCCCUUAGUAGCACCACAACGAGAACAAAAAAGAAAACAAAAUCUUGUAGAGUGACUAGAGUUUUAACCUUACCGUCUAUGUUCUGUGCAACAAGGAAAAAGUUAUGUGCAGAAAGGAAAAGUGAAAGAAAGAAAAUAAUAACAUUCACAAACUUUAGAGUUUUAACCAUUUUUU
Molecule: long non-coding RNA, 8595 nt
Filed under: Medicago truncatula (barrel medic)
Lineage: Eukaryota; Viridiplantae; Streptophyta; Magnoliopsida; Fabales; Fabaceae
Description: long non-coding RNA (MTRU_LNC003483)
Source: RNAcentral